Molecule: long non-coding RNA, 1175 nt
Organism: Mesocricetus auratus (golden hamster)
Lineage: Eukaryota; Metazoa; Chordata; Mammalia; Rodentia; Cricetidae
Exons: 4
Source: RefSeq, a predicted model, not a curated record
CAGAAGAGCGCCAAGCAAAGGGAGACUUUGGCCUCUAGUCCAAAUGAAAUAUCACUUCUCAAAUUAGGAUUAAAUAUGCCUUCUCAGGGUGAAAAUGAAAAGUGAAAUACUCCAGAAAAAUUGACAGGGAGCGGUUCACACGCACACAGCCUCUCCAAUACAGGCGCGACUAGGAUGUGACACGCCUUUUUACAAAGGGAAACCAAGCCAAACGCUGGGUGUGAUAGGCUAACGCCAAGGUCCCCUCUGCUCUUUCCACCGUCUUCCGAGGGCAUCUUUGGACAACCGGGUCUGGGAUUCAAAGGUUCUUCUCCCUACCUCCUACCAAAGCAAAGAGCGCACAGUCCCAGGCGGCGCGUUCGCAAACCCCACCAGCAUCAAAGCCUUGAACCCGCCAAACUUCCUGUCACCACACCGCCAGAGCCACCAAAGCGCGGCGCCAAGUGCCUAGGAACUCUAGUCCAGGCUGCACCAGCCUGGGAGCCUUGGGGCGGGGCUUCCCGGUGGCAAGAGAUUGGGGACCUUCUCUGUGGGUCCCCAACCUGCGCGCCGCGCUGGGGGCGCACUCCGCGCCCCUGAGAUCACAGUCCUAUGUAGGGUUUGAAGCGGAAGAGGACCUUGUUUUUCCUAGCCCUGGUGUGGCUGCUUAUGGAAACGGGAACAAGCAGCGAGAAAGCAAGACCUGACAGAAGAAAAUGGAGACACGGAGAACUGCUGAGUUGUCCUGGAGGCCACAGCCAGAGUUCCACUGCAGUCAACACUGAGCUCUUUCCAAGAAACAAAGUCCAAGGCCUUGGCUGACUCAGGGAGAGACAGCAAGCUGGCAGCAUGUUGAGCAUCUGUCUUUUCCACCCUAUCAGCACCAUUCAUGUCGAACUGCAGAAGCGUAUGAUGCCAGUUCAGUGGCGUGGCAUACAUGCCCAUCUCCCUGCUUCUGAAUGCAACCACUCCUGUUCAGUAUGCUUACUUGGAGCAGAAGAUGGCUAUGCAGCAUAUUAAAUUCUAAUCUCGACUUCGGAAUGAAAAUUGAUGUCAGUUCUGCCCACCCCAUCAAGCUGUUAUCCAAAUGCUAAACUCCUCUGUCUCUGAGAAGCCCUCUCCUAUCUCAUCUGUCAAUGUCCUUUUAUUGUCACAGAUGCUUUCUACAGAGCCAGUAUAACAUUAAAAUAAACUCU